CCAUCAAGAUAUUAAGGGCGUAUGGUGGAUGUCUUGGCACCGAAAGCCGAUGAAGGACGUGGCAAGCUGCGAUAAGCCGUGUGGAGCCGCAAGCGGGCUUUGAAGCACGGAUUUCCGAAUGGGGGAACCCAGCGAGCGUAACGGCUCGUUACCCGCACCUGAACACAUAGGGUGUGCGGAGGGAACCCGGGGAAAUGACACAUCUGAGUACCCGGAGGAAAAGAAAGAAAGUCUCGAUUCCCUGAGUAGUGGCGAGCGAAAGGGGAAAUAGCCCAAACUCAGCACGUGAAAGCCUGUGGGCGUUGCGUGUUGGGGGUUGUAGGACCGACGUGGUUGUCCCACAGGGCAGCCUAGAGAGUUACAAAACGCACGGGUAGUCGAAGCGGACUGGAAAGUCCCGCCGUAGUGGGUAAAAGCCCCGUAGGCGAAACUCGAGCGACUCUCUGUUCGGCACCUGAGUAGAUCCGGACACGUGAAACCCGGAUCGAAUCCGCGGGGACCACCCCGCAAGGCUAAACACUAACGGUGACCGAUAGUGAACCAGUACCGUGAGGGAAAGAUGAAAAGUACCCCGCAAGGGGAGUGAAAUAGUACCUGAAACCAUACGCUUACAAGCGGUCGGAGCAGCUUCGUGCUGUGACGGCGUACUUUUUGCAUAACGGGCCAGCGAGUUGCUGGUGUCUGGCGAGGUUUAGCUAAGAGCGAGCCGAAGCGAAAGCGAGUGUUAAUAGCGCGUAGAGUCAGAUGCCGCAGACCCGAAACCGAGUGAGCUAUCCAUGGCCAGGUUGAAGCGGGGGUAAGACCUCGUGGAGGACCGAACCGACCUAGGUUGAAAACUGGGCGGAUGAGCUGUGGAUCGGAGUGAAAGGCUAAUCAAACUCGGCGAUAUCUGGUUCUCCCCGAAAUAUAUUUAGGUAUAGCCUGGCGUGUUUCGUCGCGGGUGUAGAGCACUGUUUGGACGCGGGGCCCCACAAGGUUACCAACUUCAGACAAACUCCGAAGACCGUGGACGUAAGAGCGCCGGAGUCAGGGAGUGGGGGAUAAACUUCAUUUCCGAGAGGGAAACAACCCAGACCGUCAGCUAAGGUCCCUAAAUAACGGCUAAGUGGUUUAAAGGAUGUGGCGCUGCACAGACAACCAGGAUGUUGGCUUAGAAGCAGCCAUCAUUUAAAGAGUGCGUAAUAGCUCACUGGUCAAGUGGUGUUGCGCCGAAAAUGUUCGGGCCUUGAGUCGUUUACCGAAGCUACGGACUUCAGCUUAUGCUGGAGUGGUAGGGGAGCAUCCUGUAACGGUCGAAGCGGCGGCGUAAGCCGGCGUGGACGGAUCAGGAGAGAGAAUGCUGGCAUGAGUAACGAGAGACAGGCGAGAAACCUGUCCGCCGAAAGCCCAAGGGUUCCUGGGUAAAGCUAAUCUUCCCAGGGUCAGUCGGGACCUAAGCCGAGGUCGAAAGACGUAGGCGAUGGACAGCAGGUAGACAUUCCUGCACCACGAACAUGGCGUUUGAGCGAUGGAGGGACGGAGAAGGGUAGGCCAACCGCAGCGCUGGUUGACUGCGGGCUUUGCCGUAGGCUGGGGAACAGGAAAAUCCGGGCCCCGUAAAAGCUGAGGGUCGAGCCGAAUCCCGCAAGGGCAAGUGGUUGAUCCCAUGCUUCCAGGAAAAGCUUCUAAGCGAGUCAUGUACGUGCCCGUACCAAAACCGACACAGGUGGGCGAGUGGAGAACACUAAGGCGAUCGAGAUAACUAUGGUUAAGGAACUCGGCAAAUUGUCCCCGUAACUUCGGGAGAAGGGGAGCUCUGGACGGUGAAGGCCUUGCGCCGUAAGCUGUUCGGAGCCGCAGAGAAUAGGCCCAGGCGACUGUUUACCAAAAACACAGGUCUCUGCUAAGUCGCAAGACGAUGUAUAGGGGCUGACGCCUGCCCAAUGCCAGAACGUUAAGGAAGCCGGUUAGCCUUCGGGCGAAGCUGGCGACUGAAGCGCUGGUCAAUGGCGGCCGUAACUAUAACGGUCCUAAGGUAGCGAAAUUCCUUGUCGGGUAAGUUCCGACCUGCACGAAAGGCGUAACGAUCUGGGCGCUGUCUCGACCAUAGACUCGGUGAAAUUGUAGUCUCGGUGAAGAUGCCGAGUACCCGCGGAAAGACGGAAAGACCCCGUGAACCUUUACUAUACCCUGGCAUUGGAUGCUGACACAGCUUGUGCAGGAUAGGUGGGAGGCUAUGAAACCGGGACGCCAGUCUCGGUGGAGCCGUCCUUGAGAUACCACCCUUGCUGUGUUGGUGUUCUAACCCUACGCCGUGAUCCGGGUGGGGAACAGUGUCAGGCGGGUAGUUUGACUGGGGCGGUCGCCUCCCAAAAAGUAACGGAGGCGCCCAAAGGUUCCCUCAGCACGGUCGGAAAUCGUGCGCAGAGUGUAAACGCACAAGGGAGCUUGACUGCGAGAGAGACAUCUCGAGCAGGGACGAAAGUCGGGGUUAGUGAUCCGGCGGUAACGAGUGGAAGUGCCGUCGCUCAACGGAUAAAAGGUACUCCGGGGAUAACAGGCUUAUAGCCGCCAAGAGUUCACAUCGACGCGGCUGUUUGGCACCUCGAUGUCGGCUCGUCGCAUCCUGGGGCUGGAGUAGGUCCCAAGGGUUGGGCUGUUCGCCCAUUAAAGCGGUACGCGAGCUGGGUUCAGAACGUCGUGAGACAGUUCGGUCCCUAUCUUCCGUGGGCGUUGGAGAUUUGAGAGGAGUGACUCCUAGUACGAGAGGACCGGAGUGAACGAACCUCUAGUGCACCGGUUGUCCUGCCAAGGGCACCGCCGGGUAGCUAUGUUCGGAAGGGAUAACCGCUGAAAGCAUCUAAGCGGGAAGCUCGCCUCGAGAUAAGAUCUCCCAUCCCCAUGAGGGAGUAAGACUCCUGGUAGACCACCAGGUUGAUAGGCCACAGGUGUAAGCACAGCGAUGUGUUCAGCCGAGUGGUACUAAUAGGUCGAGGGCUUGAU
This 2982-nucleotide ribosomal RNA is filed under the name Rubrobacter marinus. RNAcentral's name for it is "Rubrobacter sp. SCSIO 52915 23S ribosomal RNA". It matches the Rfam family "Bacterial large subunit ribosomal RNA". Lineage: Bacteria; Bacillati; Actinomycetota; Rubrobacteria; Rubrobacterales; Rubrobacteraceae. The record is from RNAcentral.